UGAAUUAGCAAAAGUCCCUUCAGAGAAGCA
Molecule: non-coding RNA, 30 nt
Filed under: Mus musculus (house mouse)
Lineage: Eukaryota; Metazoa; Chordata; Mammalia; Rodentia; Muridae
Source: RNAcentral